Molecule: long non-coding RNA, 3737 nt
Filed under: Trifolium pratense (red clover)
Lineage: Eukaryota; Viridiplantae; Streptophyta; Magnoliopsida; Fabales; Fabaceae
Description: long non-coding RNA (TPRA_LNC003937)
Source: RNAcentral
AAUGUGAUCAAGAAAGUAAAAGUGCAACACACGCUUAUAAAAAAAAAAUCAAAUAUUUAUGCAAGCCAGUGCCCCCAAUGUCUUUAGUCCCUUACUCUUCGAAGUAUACAGACUUUCUAUUUCUCCUUCUCUCAACUUUAACUGCUUUGCUUUAUAUACUCUAUCUCUUUCAAUUCUCAUUGACCAUUCUCAGUUUCACCUAUGUUUCUAAACUUGAAUGUAUCUUUUUUAACCCUGAAACAUAAAAAGCUUCUUACGGCUUAUCAAAAAAAAAAUUAAAAUAAAAUAAAAUAAAAAGCUUCUUACGAUUUUUAGGCAAUUAGGUUGUAAUUGCAUCUAACUUUUUGUUUUUUCAAUUUCUUAGCCAUUCAUACAAGUUUUUGUUAUUGGUUUAUCUCAUCCUUUUCCUUACAUUGAUUGUUUCUAUUGUGCAGGAGAAUGAGGAUAGAUAUAUUAUCCAUUAGAGGCCAUGAGAGUGGAGCUUCUUUCAUUCUCUGUUUCUUACUCUUUUUCUAUUUGGUUUCUACUUCUUCUAUUGUAUAUUGCUGAUGAAAUGUGUUCUUCUAUUUGCUUAUAAAAUAAAAAUAAAAAUGUGUUCUUCUAUUUGGCUUAUUCGGUAUUAAUACACAUGAAACUAAAGUUGGAAAAAGCUAUAGAGUAAUUGGGGGGAAAUUCAUGAUUGUAAGGAAAAUAUCAUUCUUAAUUCAUAUAUCUAGAUGUUCUCAUGUCUAUUUCUUAAUUUAAUUCAUAUAUUCUGAAAUGUGUUUCUAAAUUCACACAUUCAUGGUUAUUUGGCGAUCCAAUACUUGAAAGCAAUUCGAAGGAGGGAGGGAGGGAGAGGGAGAGAGCUAUGAAUUAUGAUGUUGAUGGAUCUUGGUGAAGAAUUUUUUUUUUUAUCAAUUUUGAAUUUUUUUAAUUUAUAAAGAGUAAUAAUUAUUGCUACGAACGGUUGAAUAACGAAAAACACGAUCAUGUUACCAACCAUUCAUGAUUUCAAUCAAACAACAGAAUAUAUAAUUUUUUUAUUAAAAAAAAAGAAGAAACUCAUCCAAAUAGGCACAUUCUUGGUUCUCGUUAAAAAAUCCUUCGUGAUGUAUAGCAGUCCUCAUUUAUAAAUAAAACAAAUAACAAGAUUAAUUAUGAUAAAAAUGACAUGGAAAAUAUAUUUUCAAUUUAUUUAUGCCACCUAAGUGCCACAUCAUAAAUGAGAAUACCACAUGAUCAAAAUGGGAGGGGGACUACAAAUUUUUGUUGACUUUUGAACCAAAAAGCUGGUUUUAGAAAUAGGGGGACCAUUUGUCAAANNNNNNNNNNNNNNAAAUAGGGGGACAAAAGUUCAAAAAUAUGAAAAUAGAUGGACCAAAAAUACAUUUAAGCCUAAAAACUAUUUGGGUUAUAUUUGAAACCCAACAUCUCAAAGAUGCAAAUGUAGGAGUGUCAACUAAAGCCAUACGAACAACAUGAGCUAGGUUGCUCACCUUUACGGAAAUUUCCCAUCCCCAAUCUGAGUUCGGACGUACACUCCGGUAAGAGGAAAAAAAAAAAAUACAAAUUUUGUGUUGUCUAAACAAUUUAUACGGUGCAGAAGUACAUUUUAAAAAACAUGAGGUUUUUUAGAAUCAUGGGAUGAAAAGCAGUGCCCUUUCAAACAAGGAGUACACUGAUAUUCCACUAUCAAAUAACCAUCAGGUUAUAAAAUCAAUAAUAGUUAUGAUUAAAAUAUAUAUCUUUUAUUGAUUUAUUUUAAAUAGUAAAUCAACAAUCCAUAAAAGAAAUUAUUGCAUCAUGGAUUACCAAAGACAUGAAAACUAACUACAAAGGAGAUACAAACAGUACCUUGUUUUACCCGUCUUCUGAGAUCAUCUUUCUCAUCAUCAGCAUUUGUUAAUUGUCCUCAGGUUGCAAAUUGCAAUCUCAGCAUUUCAGGCAACAUAAGAAUAGUGAACCAAAUUUUCAUUAACAGAUAAACAGAAAGGCGAUAGAUAUAUAAACACAUAUUAUGAAAGCAAGCAGAGAGUGUGACAUAACAUUUGACGUUUACAAGACCUAGAAAUCCCAUUUUCUCUAUGUUUCUUUUAUACAUAAAUCAUGAAGCUGGAUCUCUAGGACAAUUUAAGCAUCAAUUUUCAUUACUGAGCAUGGCAUGCAGUGCCAGGUACUUCAAAAAACUGUCCUAGAGACACUGAAUGGAUUUCCAUGAUUCUGAUUUGCUUUACCAUAUCGAAUGCUUUAAGCCAAGGCCAUUGCAAGUUAAUAUAAGGCCCUUGUAACGGUUAAGAUAAUCCUGCGACAAACAAAAAUGAAAAAGUCAAACAGAAUGAAUCAUUCAUGUAAAAAUAAAACAUUCUAUUGGAACACAUUUCUUGUUAGAUGGAGUCAAAUGCUCCUUACAAUGAUAUUGUAAUCAUAUAUGUAACGCAUCCCGUUUAUGUCGUACUCCCUCCUUUUGUCUGGAUCACUCAAAACUGCCAAAUAAAGCCAAAGACAUGUCGGUUAGAUUAUACUAACCUGACAGGGGCAAAUAAUAAAGAAUAGAAAAUCAGCAUGACAAUCAAAUAACACUAAAUUAAAAUUUCAAACAACACAAAUCAGGAGGAUUCUAGACUAUAACUGCAAUAUCAUAUUUAUUGAACCACUAAUCUAAACCCUUCCAGCUGCCAUCUCGACCACAACCCCUCUUCUCAAAGCUUGGAAAGGAAAGUCUUCACUGUCAGUCACAUGCUUAAUAGACUAUAAACAUUUACUAGGUAAGAGGGAAUAUGGCUGGUUGUAAAAACAUGGAUUUAGAAGGGUAAAGCUCCCAUCUCCCCUUAACUUUAAAAUUGAAUAAAAGAAAUCCCCCAGCUAUGUUAUCUAGUCUUAAUUCUAAUUUCUUAUUAUUACAUCUUACAUUCAUCCUUGAUAACAAACAUCAUUUUACAAGUCAGCACAUAGUGCGGUUACUAUAUCAAAAUUAACCAGGUCAUAUUUGGAUAUGGCAAAGGCUAGAAAUCAUAUCAAAGACUAUCAACCAAACUCUAAUAAGGAUGGUUGUUAACCAAUGCAUGCAAAACGAAAGGGCGAAAAAACAAGCUGUAACAAUAAUGUACUCGUAACUCAAUCAUGGAUUAAGGUAUUUGCAAGUCAAGUUGGAGCUUCAGGUGCUCAAUUGAAAUCCACGUGCUUGAAACCUUGUUUACUUAACCACAAUUUUUUCAUCUCAAUUACCACCCAACAAUUAGUACCGCAAUACUAUUUUUUGGCAUCAAUAGUUUUAUGGCAGUUUGAAUUUUCAACACAACAUAAUACAAUUAUUAUCCAUAUUCUCUGCAUUUUGGAAAUCGUAAAUUUCCUGGAUCUGUGGACCUCGGCCAGUCCAGCCCGUCCCAAAUCUCACAUGGGCAACUCAGGUACAAAAUAGUGAGCAUCGAACGACCCAAAAGAACACAACUACAGAGAAUGCAAGAUUUUUCAAAUAGAGAUGGUUAUAUAUGAAGCACAAAUACUCCUCAUAUUAGGCAUGUCCCGGUUAGGGGUGGGCAUGGUUCGGUUUUUAAGAAAAACCGAACCGAACUGAACCAAAUUGUUUUCAAAAUUCAUAAUAGCCGAAUUGAACUGAACCGUUUGUCUUUUAACCGAACCGAACCAAACUGUUAAAAUGGUUUGGUUUUAUGGUUCUGAACCAAACUAUAACUAACUUUUGACUAAAAAGAACUGAACCAUUAAGAUAACCGAACCGAACUAAUAAUCAUGAACCG